Lepisosteus oculatus (spotted gar) is the source of this 1827-nucleotide long non-coding RNA. RefSeq lists it as uncharacterized. The record is from RefSeq and is a predicted model, not a curated record. NCBI's taxonomy places the organism in Eukaryota, Metazoa, Chordata, Actinopteri, Semionotiformes, Lepisosteidae.
GAAAAAGCAGCAGAAGACCCCAGAAACCUUCUCCCCCUCUCCUAGCCUGUAUCUGCUGCAGAGGGAACAGGUGGAUGGAGCACAAUGGGACGUACUGUUUGGGAGCGGUAGACCUGAAGGAAUAGGCAGGGUUUCAUCUCUUCCUCCAGUGUGGUGGAAAGCUACUGCAUUUUCCUUUCCGGGAGAUACAGUACAUUUCGGGUUAUGGUGACUAUGGACCUCAUUUAUUUUUGGGUAUGCAUCCCUUGUGGGUGCUUUUCUGUCCUUGUGUUCUUUCUCUAGUCAGACAGUGAUGUAUUUGGAGUGUUAGUGUGAUAACAAGGGCAAGUAUGAAGUUCUGCUAUCUUGUGCUGGUCUGUGGGCGCACUACUGGCUCUGGGGGAAACAAAGAACUUCUAGAAGAAAUGUUGAAAAGGCCUCACCGUCUUCAAUGUGUAACCUUUCUCAAAUCCUGUUAUGUUCAAGUCGUUACUAUAUAUAAACAUGGUACCUUUUUCAAUGAGUAAAAGGUGAGGCAGAGACACAAGUGGAAGACACAUGAGAGUGCUUUUAAAGCCGAGAACAGGGGACAAAUUCUUUGUAAAAAGGAUGGUGGGAGUAUAGGACAGCCAUGGUGUGGAAGAUGGUACACUGUUGUUUCAAGAUAUGGGUCAAAUAGCCACUAGCAACGUGUCAAAUAUAGAGGGCCCAAACUGGCUGCUGUUUGUAACCUUGAUGUUCCUACGGUAUGCACUUCAAUUUUAAAAUGUAAAAUCGUUCUCUGGUAACAGUAGGGGCUGCCCCCUUCGAAAACUAUUGCAGCGAACGGCGCCUUUUCGGCCGGCGGUGGCAUCCGACCGCCCGCAAGCUCUCUGACGGUUUUAUUGCCCUGUUCGUGCCCGUGGGGCGCGCUGGUCACGGAGCAGGAAACCCCAGGAAGGCAGAGAGAAAGGAAGCGUCCUCUGCACGCAGAGGGGAAAGAGGGAAAGAGCGCGCCGGGAUCGCUCUUCGGUUUGCAACGGCGAGGCCAGGGCGAAGCUGGCGUGAAAAAGGGACUGAUCGUUGGGACGGUUCGACGCCGGGGGGAUGCGGACUGCGACAAUAUACUUAUAAAACUCCUGAGAUCUUUAUUUUUAAAGAAGAAUGUGGUCGUGUAAAAAAAAAAAGCUUACACGGAGAAAAAUGCACACUGUAGCUGUGCCCAGACGGGUCACGCGAGGGCAGCAAAUUACAAGGUCCUAAUUUAUAACAACAAUAACCGCUUGCGAUAUAAGUCGUGCCUUACAACUGUAUGAUCUUGCCAGUCAGGACCCGAUGCAGAUGGCAGAAUCCGGAGGGGAGUGAGACAAAAACCGGGAAAAAAACUUGGAUAGGGGCUGGAAGAAGGGCAGGGGGCGUGUCCAAGGUGCGCUGGGGCUCAAGGGGGCGUGUCCAGGGAGUCUGUAAGGAAAUCCAUGGUAAGGCACAUGUCCAGAGCCGGGUGGUCCAUCCGUGACGAAGACAAGACAUAGUUAACAGCCGGAGCGGGAUCCGGCGAAGGACCAGGGGAGAAUAAAAAGGGUUAACGGGGCCCGGCGCUCCCAGCCCCGGACACAGAUUGUCAGGACGCCGUUCCGAAGCCUUUGCCUUCGAGCCUCUCCUGGACUCGCUGGUUGGCGGGCUUCCUGGCGUCCAUCUUCCAAAGCUGAGCCCGGAAUGGUGGGAGUGUCGGACUUUUAAAGGGAAGGCUGGAACUGGAGCCAAAAGACACACGGGUAGGUAAAUUUACGUGUGAGAAAAUUGGCCCUGGAGUGAGUUCGUGUGAGAGUGUGCCCUGCGAUGGACUGGUGUACCCCUCCUUGUGCACUU